RNAcentral lists this transfer RNA (64 nucleotides) under Acmaeodera sp. RUGACM01. RNAcentral describes it as "tRNA-Asp". Lineage: Eukaryota; Metazoa; Arthropoda; Insecta; Coleoptera; Buprestidae. The record is from RNAcentral.
AAAAAUUUAGUUAAAUCAUAACAUUGGCUUGUCAGGCCGAAAUUAUUUUAUUAAAUAAUUUUUA